CGUAGGGACCGAGCGUUGUCCGGAUUCAUUGGGCGUAAAGAGCUCGUAGGCGGCUGUUCAAGUCGAACGUGAAAACUCGGAGCUCAACUCCGAGCCUGCGUUCGAUACUGGAUGGCUAGAGUCUGGUAGGGGGAUCUGGAAUUCCUGGUGUAGCGGUGGAAUGCGCAGAUAUCAGGAGGAACACCGGUGGCGAAGGCGGGAUCCUGGGCCAGUACUGACGCUGAGGAGCGAAAGCGUGGGGAGCAAACAGGAUUAGAUACCCUGGUAGUCCACGCCGCAAACGAUGGGCGCUAGGUGUGGGAGGUCAUCGACUCCUUCCGUGCCGCAGCUAACGCAUUAAGCGCCCCGCCUGGGGAGUACGGCCGCAAGGCUA
This 373-nucleotide ribosomal RNA is filed under the name uncultured organism. RNAcentral describes it as "bacterial SSU rRNA". It matches the Rfam family "Bacterial small subunit ribosomal RNA", at positions 526 to 896 of the family's 1533-position model. The record is from RNAcentral.